RNAcentral lists this ribosomal RNA (2904 nucleotides) under Escherichia coli. RNAcentral's name for it is "23S ribosomal RNA". It matches the Rfam family "Bacterial large subunit ribosomal RNA". Lineage: Bacteria; Pseudomonadati; Pseudomonadota; Gammaproteobacteria; Enterobacterales; Enterobacteriaceae. The record is from RNAcentral.
GGUUAAGCGACUAAGCGUACACGGUGGAUGCCCUGGCAGUCAGAGGCGAUGAAGGACGUGCUAAUCUGCGAUAAGCGUCGGUAAGGUGAUAUGAACCGUUAUAACCGGCGAUUUCCGAAUGGGGAAACCCAGUGUGAUUCGUCACACUAUCAUUAACUGAAUCCAUAGGUUAAUGAGGCGAACCGGGGGAACUGAAACAUCUAAGUACCCCGAGGAAAAGAAAUCAACCGAGAUUCCCCCAGUAGCGGCGAGCGAACGGGGAGCAGCCCAGAGCCUGAAUCAGUGUGUGUGUUAGUGGAAGCGUCUGGAAAGGCGCGCGAUACAGGGUGACAGCCCCGUACACAAAAAUGCACAUACUGUGAGCUCGAUGAGUAGGGCGGGACACGUGGUAUCCUGUCUGAAUAUGGGGGGACCAUCCUCCAAGGCUAAAUACUCCUGACUGACCGAUAGUGAACCAGUACCGUGAGGGAAAGGCGAAAAGAACCCCGGCGAGGGGAGUGAAAAAGAACCUGAAACCGUGUACGUACAAGCAGUGGGAGCACGCUUAGGCGUGUGACUGCGUACCUUUUGUAUAAUGGGUCAGCGACUUAUAUUCUGUAGCAAGGUUAACCGAAUAGGGGAGCCGAAGGGAAACCGAGUCUUAACUGGGCGUUAAGUUGCAGGGUAUAGACCCGAAACCCGGUGAUCUAGCCAUGGGCAGGUUGAAGGUUGGGUAACACUAACUGGAGGACCGAACCGACUAAUGUUGAAAAAUUAGCGGAUGACUUGUGGCUGGGGGUGAAAGGCCAAUCAAACCGGGAGAUAGCUGGUUCUCCCCGAAAGCUAUUUAGGUAGCGCCUCGUGAAUUCAUCUCCGGGGGUAGAGCACUGUUUCGGCAAGGGGGUCAUCCCGACUUACCAACCCGAUGCAAACUGCGAAUACCGGAGAAUGUUAUCACGGGAGACACACGGCGGGUGCUAACGUCCGUCGUGAAGAGGGAAACAACCCAGACCGCCAGCUAAGGUCCCAAAGUCAUGGUUAAGUGGGAAACGAUGUGGGAAGGCCCAGACAGCCAGGAUGUUGGCUUAGAAGCAGCCAUCAUUUAAAGAAAGCGUAAUAGCUCACUGGUCGAGUCGGCCUGCGCGGAAGAUGUAACGGGGCUAAACCAUGCACCGAAGCUGCGGCAGCGACGCUGAUGCGUUGUUGGGUAGGGGAGCGUUCUGUAAGCCUGCGAAGGUGUGCUGUGAGGCAUGCUGGAGGUAUCAGAAGUGCGAAUGCUGACAUAAGUAACGAUAAAGCGGGUGAAAAGCCCGCUCGCCGGAAGACCAAGGGUUCCUGUCCAACGUUAAUCGGGGCAGGGUGAGUCGACCCCUAAGGCGAGGCCGAAAGGCGUAGUCGAUGGGAAACAGGUUAAUAUUCCUGUACUUGGUGUUACUGCGAAGGGGGGACGGAGAAGGCUAUGUUGGCCGGGCGACGGUUGUCCCGGUUUAAGCGUGUAGGCUGGUUUUCCAGGCAAAUCCGGAAAAUCAAGGCUGAGGCGUGAUGACGAGGCACUACGGUGCUGAAGCAACAAAUGCCCUGCUUCCAGGAAAAGCCUCUAAGCAUCAGGUAACAUCAAAUCGUACCCCAAACCGACACAGGUGGUCAGGUAGAGAAUACCAAGGCGCUUGAGAGAACUCGGGUGAAGGAACUAGGCAAAAUGGUGCCGUAACUUCGGGAGAAGGCACGCUGAUAUGUAGGUGAAGUCCCUUGCGGAUGGAGCUGAAAUCAGUCGAAGAUACCAGCUGGCUGCAACUGUUUAUUAAAAACACAGCACUGUGCAAACACGAAAGUGGACGUAUACGGUGUGACGCCUGCCCGGUGCCGGAAGGUUAAUUGAUGGGGUCAGCGCAAGCGAAGCUCUUGAUCGAAGCCCCGGUAAACGGCGGCCGUAACUAUAACGGUCCUAAGGUAGCGAAAUUCCUUGUCGGGUAAGUUCCGACCUGCACGAAUGGCGUAAUGAUGGCCAGGCUGUCUCCACCCGAGACUCAGUGAAAUUGAACUCGCUGUGAAGAUGCAGUGUACCCGCGGCAAGACGGAAAGACCCCGUGAACCUUUACUAUAGCUUGACACUGAACAUUGAGCCUUGAUGUGUAGGAUAGGUGGGAGGCUUUGAAGUGUGGACGCCAGUCUGCAUGGAGCCGACCUUGAAAUACCACCCUUUAAUGUUUGAUGUUCUAACGUUGACCCGUAAUCCGGGUUGCGGACAGUGUCUGGUGGGUAGUUUGACUGGGGCGGUCUCCUCCUAAAGAGUAACGGAGGAGCACGAAGGUUGGCUAAUCCUGGUCGGACAUCAGGAGGUUAGUGCAAUGGCAUAAGCCAGCUUGACUGCGAGCGUGACGGCGCGAGCAGGUGCGAAAGCAGGUCAUAGUGAUCCGGUGGUUCUGAAUGGAAGGGCCAUCGCUCAACGGAUAAAAGGUACUCCGGGGAUAACAGGCUGAUACCGCCCAAGAGUUCAUAUCGACGGCGGUGUUUGGCACCUCGAUGUCGGCUCAUCACAUCCUGGGGCUGAAGUAGGUCCCAAGGGUAUGGCUGUUCGCCAUUUAAAGUGGUACGCGAGCUGGGUUUAGAACGUCGUGAGACAGUUCGGUCCCUAUCUGCCGUGGGCGCUGGAGAACUGAGGGGGGCUGCUCCUAGUACGAGAGGACCGGAGUGGACGCAUCACUGGUGUUCGGGUUGUCAUGCCAAUGGCACUGCCCGGUAGCUAAAUGCGGAAGAGAUAAGUGCUGAAAGCAUCUAAGCACGAAACUUGCCCCGAGAUGAGUUCUCCCUGACUCCUUGAGAGUCCUGAAGGAACGUUGAAGACGACGACGUUGAUAGGCCGGGUGUGUAAGCGCAGCGAUGCGUUGAGCUAACCGGUACUAAUGAACCGUGAGGCUUAACCUU